AUUGAACGCUGGCGGCAGGCCUAACACAUGCAAGUCGAGCGAGCGGCGGACGGGUGCGGAAUGUCUGGGAAACUGCCUGAUGCAGGGGGAUAACUACUGGAAAACGCAGCGAAUACCGCAUACCAGCAGCUUUGGCCAGAUGGGAGUAGCUAGUCGGUGGGUGAACGGCCCACCUAGGCGACGAUCCCUAGCUGGUCUGAGAGGAUGACCGGACAAACUGGAACGGAGACACGGCCCAGACUCCUACGGGAGGCAGCAGUAGGGAAUAUUGCACAAUGGGCGAAAGUCUGAUGCAGCCAAGCCGCGUGAGUGAAGAAGGCUUUCGGGUUGGAAAGCACUUUCGGCGGGGAGGCGUUACCUGCAGAAGAAGCAACGGCUAACUACGUGCCAGCAGCCGCGGUAAUUC
This 406-nucleotide ribosomal RNA is filed under the name uncultured bacterium. Its description in RNAcentral is "partial 16S ribosomal RNA". It matches the Rfam family "Bacterial small subunit ribosomal RNA", at positions 29 to 526 of the family's 1533-position model. The record is from RNAcentral.